GGCUCAGAAUGAACGUUGGCGGCGUGGAUUAGGCAUGCAAGUCGAACGAAUCCCGUGGGGGUAACUCUGCGGGGGAAGUGGCGAAAGGGGCAGUAAAGCGUGGGUAACUUGCCCCGGGGUCCGGGAUAGCCUUCCUAACGGAAGGGUAAUACCGGGAGUCGUGGCGGGGGGGCAUCCUCCUGUCAGGAAAGUUCCGACGCCCCGGGAGAGGCUCACGUGGUAUUAGCUAGUUGGUGAGGUAACGGCUCACCAAGGCCAAGAUGCCUAGCAGGUGUGAGAGCACGACCUGCGCCACUGGCACUGAGACACUGGCCAGACUCCUACGGGAGGCUGCAGUCGAGGAUCUUCGGCAAUGGGCGCAAGCCUGACCGAGCGACGCCGCGUGUGCGAUGAAGGCCUUCGGGUUGUAAAGCACUGUCGGGGGGAAGAAAAGGGCAACCUUGAUCGACCCCCGGAGGAAGCACGGGCUAAGUUCGUGCCAGCAGCCGCGGUAAGACGAACCGUGCAAACGUUAUUCGGAAUCACUGGGCUUAAAGGGCGCGUAGGCGGGCUCGCCAGUCAGGGGUGAAAGCCUCCAGCUCAACUGGAGAAGUGCCUUUGAUACUGCGAGUCUCGAGGGAGGUAGGGGCGUGCGGAACUUCCGGUGGAGCGGUGAAAUGCGUAGAUAUCGGAAGGAACACCGGUGGCGAAAGCGGCGCGCUGGACCUCUUCUGACGCUGAGGCGCGAAAGCCAGGGGAGCAAACGGGAUUAGAUACCCCGAUAGUCCUGGCCCUAAACGAUGGGUACCAGGUAGUGGACUUACAUGGGUUCACUGCCGAGGCAAAAGUGUUAAGUACCCCGCCUGGGGAGUAUGUUCGCAAGGCUGAAACU
This 871-nucleotide ribosomal RNA is filed under the name uncultured bacterium. RNAcentral describes it as "bacterial SSU rRNA". It matches the Rfam family "Bacterial small subunit ribosomal RNA", at positions 21 to 901 of the family's 1533-position model. The record is from RNAcentral.